RNAcentral lists this ribosomal RNA (253 nucleotides) under uncultured bacterium. RNAcentral describes it as "partial 16S ribosomal RNA". It matches the Rfam family "Bacterial small subunit ribosomal RNA", at positions 524 to 776 of the family's 1533-position model. The record is from RNAcentral.
UACAGAGGUCCCAAGCGUUGUUCGGAUUCACUGGGCGUAAAGGGUGCGUAGGUGGUGGGGUAAGUCGGAUGUGAAAUCUCCGGGCUCAACCCGGAAAUGGCAUUGGAAACUACCUUGCUGGAGGAUUUGAGGGGGGAUUGGUAUACUUGGUGUAGCAGUGAAAUGCGUAGAUAUCAAGUGGAACACCAGUGGCGAAGGCGAAUCCCUGGAAAAUACCUGACACUGAGGCACGAAAGCUAGGGGAGCAAACAGG